UCAAUUUUUUCUCUCUUCACGAUUCAGGAGCUCCGGGCUCUCUGAAACUGUUUUUCUAUCUUCUUCACAUCGUGGGAGUGCAAUGGUGCAACCUUUUGGAUCUCGGUCGUUUUCUCUUUCUUUUCUUUCCGUAAGCAUCAGGGGGCUUUGUUUUCUGUUUUUUGUUGUUCGUCGCAUUACACUCAUUUCGGUGUGGUGUUCAGAGGCUCGUUGAGCCCGGCAAUUGUAGCGGCGCAUUGUAAUGUUGCGGUGCUGAAACGUCGUCGGUACUACUUGCUCGCAGUGGUUGGUCCAGGUUGUGCGUGCUGGUGUGACGCAACAUUGGUACAUUGCUCUAAGUGGCAGCGACUUUGACUUUAAGCUAGACAUUUUUUGUACCAUAUUGGGCAAUGGCUGUCGUGCAAAGAAUCGGCAGCAGGGGUCUCGUACGUUGUGGGUGCAUUGGGUGAUCAGAGAAGAAGAGCUCCAUAAUUGGUUUUUCCUUAUUGUAAAGCUCGAGUGAUUCCAGCCUGCACCAUCAUCGAUUCGGUGGCUCUGGUGUGGUGUUUGGCGGUAUCAAGCUGCAUUGAUUGUAGUGGUCGAGGCAGAGUUGAUGAUGAUGGAAGACAGCUCAAGGUGGAGGCUUCCCGAAUUCACCCUCAAUUCCAGAAAUUCAAUGGAAUCAAGUUAAGAGGUAGGAAUCAAUUAGGUUAAGAUGCAAUUAAAUUAAUAUUUGGGCUGAAUUAUUUUGGAUGAUUUGUUAACUUGGAUGAACUUAGAUAGAUAUGGAUGAUAAUUUAUAAAUGAAUGUUGCUUAAAAUUA
This is a non-coding RNA of Physcomitrium patens, 802 nucleotides long. The record is from RefSeq and is a predicted model, not a curated record. Lineage: Eukaryota; Viridiplantae; Streptophyta; Bryopsida; Funariales; Funariaceae.